Molecule: small nuclear RNA, 102 nt
Organism: Oryctolagus cuniculus (rabbit)
Lineage: Eukaryota; Metazoa; Chordata; Mammalia; Lagomorpha; Leporidae
Source: Ensembl
GUGCUCACAUAGCAGCAUAAAUACUAAAAUCGGAUGAUCCAGAGCUUAGCAUGGCUUCUGCACAAGAAUGACAUGCUAAGUGGUGAAGCAUUCCAUAUGUUU